This 360-nucleotide ribosomal RNA is filed under the name uncultured eukaryote. Its description in RNAcentral is "LSU rRNA". It matches the Rfam family "Bacterial large subunit ribosomal RNA", at positions 2126 to 2485 of the family's 2925-position model. The record is from RNAcentral.
GGCUUUGUUUGCGCAGGAUAGGUGGGAGGCGUUGAAGAUUUUCUUGCGGGGAGAUUGGAGCCGUUGGUGAGAUACCACUCUAACAAUGCUAGGAUUCUAACCCUAUACCGUUAUCCGGUUAGGGGACAGUUUCAGGUGGUCAGUUUGACUGGGGCGGUCGCCUCCCAAAAGGUAACGGAGGCGUGCAAAGGUUUCCUCAGGCUGGUCGGAAAUCAGUCGUAGAGUGUAAAGGCAUAAGGAAGCUUGAUUGUGAGACCUACAAGUCGAACAAAGACGAAAGUCGGCCUUAGUGAUCCGACGGUUCCGAGUGGAAGGGCCGUCGCUCAACGGAUAAAAGUUACUCUAGGGAUAACAGGCUGA